RNAcentral lists this ribosomal RNA (296 nucleotides) under Escherichia coli. Its description in RNAcentral is "partial 23S ribosomal RNA". It matches the Rfam family "Bacterial large subunit ribosomal RNA", at positions 612 to 910 of the family's 2925-position model. Lineage: Bacteria; Pseudomonadati; Pseudomonadota; Gammaproteobacteria; Enterobacterales; Enterobacteriaceae. The record is from RNAcentral.
AUAAUGGGUCAGCGACUUAUAUUCUGUAGCAAGGUUAACCGAAUAGGGGAGCCGAAGGGAAACCGAGUCUUAACUGGGCGUUAAGUUGCAGGGUAUAGACCCGAAACCCGGUGAUCUAGCCAUGGGCAGGUUGAAGGUUGGGUAACACUAACUGGAGGACCGAACCGACUAAUGUUGAAAAAUUAGCGGAUGACUUGUGGCUGGGGGUGAAAGGCCAAUCAAACCGGGAGAUAGCUGGUUCUCCCCGAAAGCUAUUUAGGUAGCGCCUCGUGAAUUCAUCUCCGGGGGUAGAGCAC